UCAGCUACAGAAUGUUGAAUGUUUACAGCACCUCUAGUUAGAAAAUCAAGCUAUCAUCUCAUUAUACUUGCAACCAUAUAACACCUAACAAGGGCACAGCAAAGCAAGCCUCGUACUCCACUUCAGCCAGGCAGCCACAGACUAAAAUCACUCAUUCAGUUCAUUUGCGAGUAUAUAAUACCCUGAGUAUAUCCCUUCCACCGAAGUCAUGAAUAACACUGGUACCCACUGCUAUUGACAGCAGAACAUUAUCAAAUCAAUUCAAACAUAUCAAGUUUCAGCAGUUGAAAAGACAAGUCAUUACACCUUAUUCAUUGGGAUCCCACACAACGGUUCAGCAUUCCAGAAUGCUCCAUCAGAUUCAGACUAAAGCAGUACGGGCACAAACCGAGCGAAGACUCCUCGCAGCCCGGCCGAGGGAGCAGGCGCGCCGCUCAGAGGAACUUCCGGUACGGCCGGCCAGCGUCCUCGUCCUGCAUAUGCUGCAGCCAACCCCAGAUUCGAUCUUAGGGUUUGGACUUCGGAGAAUGGAAGAAUGAAACGCGGAAUGGCAGGGGGUUUGCAGAGGCAUUACGAAUUCGCGGACGAUGCCCUUGUAGACGAGGAUGGGGACGGCGAGGCCGAACAGCCCGACGACGGCGAGGCUGCGGCGGGUCCAGCGGAAGUUGAACUCGAGGUUCUCCCGGCCGGCGUUCCACUCCUCGAUCCACCGGUUCUUGUGCACCUCCAUGCCGCCACCCAUCUUCUCCUCCUCUCUUCCUUCGAUCCGCCGCGAUGCGAAAUGGGUGCUGGUUGCUAGCGAGACGGCGAGAGAGUGAUUUGGUUUGGAGGAUUUGGGGAAGACUGGCCUGCUUCUCCGGUUGGAGGAAGGGGAUUGCGCGUACCGCAGACGGAUCGCGGAGGCGUAUAGUUAGGAUUACACAAGGC
RNAcentral lists this long non-coding RNA (927 nucleotides) under Setaria italica (foxtail millet). Its description in RNAcentral is "long non-coding RNA (SITA_LNC004003)". The record is from RNAcentral. Lineage: Eukaryota; Viridiplantae; Streptophyta; Magnoliopsida; Poales; Poaceae.